UGAGACACGGCCCAGACUCCUACGGGAGGCAGCAGUGGGGAAUAUUGGACAAUGGGCGGAAGCCUGAUCCAGCCAUGCCGCGUGUGUGAAGAAGGCCUUUUGGUUGUAAAGCACUUUAAGCGAGGAGGAGGAUUCCUACCUGGAUUAAUACUCUAGGAUAGUGGACGUUACUCGCAGAAUAAGCACCGGCUAACUCUGUGCCAGCAGCCGCGGUAAUACAGAGGGUGCGAGCGUUAAUCGGAUUUACUGGGCGUAAAGCGUGCGUAGGCGGCUUUUGUUAAGUCGGAUGUGAAAUCCCCGAGCUUAACUUGGGAAUUGCAUUCGAUACUGGGAAGCUAGAGUAUGGGAGAGGAUGGUAGAAUUCCAGGUGUAGCGGUGAAAUGCGUAGAGAUCUGGAGGAAUACCGAUGGCGAAGGCGCAGCCAUCUGGCCUAAUACUGACGCUGAGGUACGAAAGCAUGGGGAGCAAACAGGAUUAGAUACCCUGGUAUUAGUCCAUGCCGUAAAC
This 507-nucleotide ribosomal RNA is filed under the name Acinetobacter proteolyticus. Its description in RNAcentral is "bacterial SSU rRNA". It matches the Rfam family "Bacterial small subunit ribosomal RNA", at positions 320 to 807 of the family's 1533-position model. The record is from RNAcentral. Lineage: Bacteria; Pseudomonadati; Pseudomonadota; Gammaproteobacteria; Moraxellales; Moraxellaceae.